RNAcentral lists this ribosomal RNA (496 nucleotides) under uncultured bacterium. RNAcentral's name for it is "partial 16S ribosomal RNA". It matches the Rfam family "Bacterial small subunit ribosomal RNA", at positions 28 to 507 of the family's 1533-position model. The record is from RNAcentral.
GAUGAACGCUGGCGGCGUGCCUAAUACAUGCAAGUCGAGCGAACAGACGAGGAGCUUGCUCCUCUGACGUUAGCGGCGGACGGGUGAGUAACACGUGGAAACCUACCUAUAAGACUGGGAUAACUUCGGGAAACCGGAGCUAAUACCGGAUAAUAUAUUGAACCGCAUGGUUCAAUAGUGAAAGACGGUUUUGCUGUCACUUAUAGAUGGAUCCGCGCCGCAUUAGCUAGUUGGUAAGGUAACGGCUUACCAAGGCAACGAUGCGUAGCCGACCUGAGAGGGUGAUCGGCCACACUGGAACUGAGACACGGUCCAGACUCCUACGGGAGGCAGCAGUAGGGAAUCUUCCGCAAUGGGCGAAAGCCUGACGGAGCAACGCCGCGUGAGUGAUGAAGGUCUUCGGAUCGUAAAACUCUGUUAUUAGGGAAGAACAAAUGUGUAAGUAACUAUGCACGUCUUGACGGUACCUAAUCAGAAAGCCACGGCUAACUACGUG